Long non-coding RNA from Bacillus rossius redtenbacheri, 9777 nucleotides. RefSeq lists it as uncharacterized. The record is from RefSeq and is a predicted model, not a curated record. The transcript has 2 exons. NCBI's taxonomy places the organism in Eukaryota, Metazoa, Arthropoda, Insecta, Phasmatodea, Bacillidae.
ACAUGGACAGCCGAAGAUUCACCCCCUUAGAUCGACAUGCCCUUCGGGCUGGGUCGGUCAUGUUCGCGUUUUUUUUAAUUUUUUUUAUCUGUACGUUCAAAACAAACAUUGCAUUAUUGAUCAAAGAAUUGUAGACUAAUGUUAUUAUAUAUUUUUUAAGAGUAAAACGCAUGUACACUAAUAUUGCCCUGUUACUAAUUAUGAGAUUUUCAGGUAAGUUAUUGAGCUAUUUCUGUUUGAUUUGUUAGGAGAUUAGUUUUGUCCGUUUACAAGUUAACCUUGCUUGUGUUAUUCUUGGCAAGUAAUCAUUUCUUAUACAAAUUUUUGUACACUAUAGGCUUAUUAUUUAAAUUUUAGGUAGCGUGUGGAGAUUUCAUCUUAUGUUCAUGAGCGCACAACGUAUAAAAUCAUAAUAAAUGUUUUCUGCUGGUGUGUAGCAGUUAACCGCAUUUAAGUAAAAAUAUUUUUAAAUAAUUGUUACCAGAGCUGAAUUACAUUCAGGUGAGUGCACUUAAUAUAAUUUGGGGUAUUGCAGGAAAAAUUAUAAAUUCCUAAAGUGUUUUUUACUUCCUGACAUGUUUAAAAUUAUUAUUCUCUAUGAGGGUUGUUUGAUACUGCAAGUAGUUUAUCAUGUUUAACAUGUGGAUAGGUUAGGAUUAUUUAUUACAAAUCUGUAAUAUUGAGAUACUGCCCUUGGGUUAGCUGGAUUAAAAAUACAGUGAAAUGUGUUAGGUUAGUAACAAUAUACGUACAGUGAUUCUAAGUACAGUGGAAUUUACAUUUGGUUAGCUUACGAUGGCGCCAAUUAAAAAUUCUGUAAAAUCAAUUGAACGGUUGGAUGUUACUAACCUAAUUUAACCAACCAAUAUGCAUUUACAGUGAUUUUUUAGGUUAUUAUCUCACGUUGCUGCGUUUUGUAUGCAAAAUAAACUUUGGACUCUUAUUAUUUUUUUUAAAUCUCUAAAUAUGUACCUGUAUUUACUCUAAAAAAAGUUUUUCUAAAUUCAGACUUGUUUUUGAGAAAUCACUGUUUAUAGGUUAUAUUGCAUUACCUGUGCAGUAAAGGGCCUGUCACCAUGUUAUUUAAUUGAGUUGCAGAUCUUGUUGUUUUUCAUACACAAAUUGUAUAUUUUUUAUUUGGAUAUUGCAAUGCAGUUACGUAAAUUAUAACAUUAAAAAAGUUAUGGUACUCCUUAUUGUGCAUUACAAACCCAAAGCAUCAGUCCUUGAGAGCGAUAUUUUUAGCAGUUUAUAGGUGCAAAAUUCUGAUUUUUUACGUGAGACAACACAUAACCUGACAUAUAAAAUAAAUUUUCAUUUUGUAACAAAUGAUUCCUUUUAUACGUCAGGUUACGUGGUAUUGCAGGUAACUAAUCUAUGCUUUGCGCCUCCAUACUGCUGUAAAAAAAUCCCUGUCAAGGGUUUGCGUUUUGGUUUGGAUACACAUUAGAGACUCGUAACUUUUUUAAAACAUUUAUUUACGUUUCAUUGGGUUAUAAUAUUCAAAUAAAAAAUAUAUACAUUCUUAUAUAUAUGGAAAACCACAGGAUCUGGAAUGCAAUUUGAGGAAAAAAUGGCGACAGCUGCUUUACUGCAUAGGCUAUCUAGUGUGACCUGCAAAAUGUGAUUUCUUGAAAACCAGUAGGAAUUAAGAAAAGCUGUUUACAGUUUUAAUAGAGGAAGAUUUUUAGUGUCUGAAAAGGUAUUUUCAGAAUUGUAUAAUUUAAUUUAUGGAUAAGCAUCAACAAAAGAAAAUUUUUUUUAAAUUUAGCUAACCAACCAUUCAUAUGAUUUUACAAACUUUGUAUUGUUUAUACUUACCUGCUUGAACAUUAAACUACUGUUAAACCAUUUAUUUAAUUUUUUUUAAAUAUCUUUGGGAAUUAGCGCAGUGUAAUCGAAGACGUUGACUGUAUUGAUGAUUGAUUUACUUUAUUGAUGAGCAACAAAGUUGUAUCAUUGUUGGAUUGGUUAAGAAAAUUCAAGCAUCAAGGGUACUGAUCAAUGGUUUUUAACAUUAUAUUUACUUGAGUCCAUUGGUAAAAAGUUAAAACACUGGAUAGGCUAAAUUUCCAUCGACUGCUUAUGUUAUUUCUUCAUUCUCACUUGAAAACAAUUACAGGGUUAUACUGUAGUUCACAGUUGCAAUACUUGGUUAGGUUAGUUACAUAAGUGCUGUUAAAUCACGAAAAUGGUUAGGGAAAGGUAACUUCUUCAUAACUACUGUAAAAUGGUGUAAGCAAUUCUUUAGGUAAGUUUACCUAGACUUUAAAAAUAAUUUAUUUGGCGAAGUACGUAGUACUAAGAAUUACUAUUUAUCAAAUUUGGUUUGUGUGGAAAAGUUGUUACUCUAGGAAAUUUCUGAAUCCAUCUUUGUAGGAAUAUAAUAUAAUAUUAUUAAGAAACAAAAAAUACAAUGUGUGGUAUAUUUUAAUUUUCUAACUCCCUCUGAACUCUGCAGUUAUGCGAUUAUCGAUAAUAAUUGUAAAUCAUUGCAAUGUACAUCCGACACAUUUUGUAGUGAUUUCACAACUGUACUAUGAAGUAAUGCCAUCAACUGCUGCAAAAUAACAUGCUGACAUCUAUUCUCAUGUAGGCAUUUUGUUGAUACGACUAAAAUAUGAGCAUAGAGGAUACAUAUAGAAUCUUACAAAUUUUGGUAACCUACCUACUAAUACUCUCCCCGAAGACUUUGAUUAGAUACAUGUGACAUGCAUUACAUGAAACAAAUUCAACUUCUAAACAUUUUGCUUGAAUCAAAGCCUAGAUUUGCUUAAGCUAAUAACAAGCAAAUACUUCACUCGAGGCCCUGAGAAACAUACUUCUAAAAUUGUUUAGUUACUUGGAUUGUUAAAUACCUAGUUUUUCUGCAAUAAUGGGCACAAGAGCUUAAUUUUACAACUCAAAAGUUGUUGAAGCAUCAAAUAGAAUUAUGUUUUGCAUAUAAUUUUUUUUCACAUAAAUGAGUAUUUGUCAAAAAGUAUUUGGAAAAAAAUAUCUGUUUGAAAGGACAAAGAAAAAUGUUAACUGUAGUACAUAAAUGAGAAUUUACCAAAAGUAUUUGUGAAUGUAUCAAAAUUCUAACUAAAAUGGUUUUGAAAGUAAUUUAUCAUUCUGAUACGCAUAACUUUUUUCUUUGAUACAUUUAUUUAUCAGUUUCAUUUCUCUUUAGUACAAUCUAAUCAUUUAACUUUGAUUUCUUUUUUGUUUCAGGCUUGUGGAGAACAGCUUUUUUUUAUCUACUCUUUGGCUGGCCAAUGUAAAUAAGCAAUUAUUUCAUGAAUGCAGCGAGAGAGUUUAUUUGAUGUAUUUUAAAAUCACUGAUAAUAUUUAUUGGUGUAUUUUAAAAUCACUGAUAAUAUUUAUUGGUGUAUUUUAAAAUCGCUGAUAAUAUUUGUUUUGUGGCUGGAAGAUGGUAACCAUGGUGACUUGUGAAUUUUUAUGAAGGAUUAAUAAAAAGCAGUAAAAAUUAUUAAUGGUUGUCACAAGGAAUUUUUUUUUCAAUAAUCAAUCAAUCAUCUACACUCUACAGUAACAAUUUUCCUUAACUCAAAUAAUAUUUCAAUACAUAUCUUAUAAAGUAUUCAUAUAUGUACAAUAUAGACCAAUUUUGAGUUAUUCUGAUAUCAGUAUAUUAGUUAUUAUGAACAUAUAAUAUCAGAACUACCAUUUGCAUAUAGUGCACAUACAUACAUAACACUAGCCAACAACCAUUAAAAAAAACACUACUGUAUACACUUAUAUUAAAAAAAAAACAAUUAUAGACAAGUACAGAUUAUUCAUUAUUAUAUUCUAGAGCCAAUUCCAAUAAGUGUAAGGGCGUACCGGUGUUACGAUUUGAAUUAUUGGUGGAAAUAGUGGGCGCCACCACAUGAGUGGGCACGUGGACCCGGCUUGAUACUCUUGCUCAGGGCAUUACGUGGCCCGUGUGAAGCGAGAUAUUAGCCCUCCUGAUUUUUAACGCAACACCUGUCCCUAACUAAGCCCGCUCUCAGCGUCGGGCACGCUUAUAGUUCACCUCAGUGGGCUCUUAGGGCGUCCCACACGCCGCUGACUGGUUAAGGACCCACGUGGCCCCCCCGAACACAAAGACACGUGGUUCAAUUAAGUUGGUUUUAUUUACUUACACGUUACAUGCCAUCAUACAAUACUUCCGUGAUACUGUUAAAAAACGCCCGAGGCACGAAUCGGUUUAGUUGAGGAGGUGGACCACACACGUGGUCGCCUCAAGCCUUUACUUAGAACACGGGUGGUUAAAAACUCCGGAGAGUAUAUAAAUCACUAAUUAAACAGCCCCACCGAUCAAGAGAGACCCUGAGGGUGAAGAGAAAACGAUUUGAAUUAAUUAACUGAACAGAACUACUUAUUGGAGAGACAACGGUGAUGUCCUCGGGGUGUCUGCAGAGACGUCCGCUCUCGGCCGUCUGUAGAAGGAGACUGGGGUGAGACAAGGGCUUGCGGCAGGAAACAUGGCGCUCUUUAAAUAAAAUUACUAGAUACACAUCCAUGACCAGACCGUCUGUAAUAAUUACUUAUGUGAUAAAAUAUAGUUUGAAUAAAGUUAUGUGUUGGUUCCGUCGUCGCCCGCUAGGGAGCGUUCGUGGCCGUGCUUGCACGUACUUUAUUACAAAUAUAUAACAUAUUAAUAAAACAAAAGGCACUCACUUACUGAAUCGUCAUGACACUAUUUUAGGGGCGAAAAGGAAAGGUUACAAUAAUAUUAAUUAUAAAUAGGGGUGUGGCACACUGCAGCUAAGCGCCCUCUUGCCGGGCUACCAACACACGCACGCACUCGCUGGCGGGAGGUUUGAAUAUGAACAGAGGAUGGAGGUGUUUGGACGGUGGCAUAUCGGAUUCGAAAGGGGGCCGCAGGCCCGGAUGACGUCAAGUGUAUUAUCAACAAAAGAAAAUAUUUUUUUUUAAAUAACAAUAUAGCGAUAUGAAGGAAAAUCUGUAUUCUGAAGUUCUUGUAUAUGUUUGGUAUCAAUCAAUGUAAAUUAAUCAAUCUUUGAUUAAAAAAAUCCCAAAAAUGAUUAAUAAAUAAAAAAAUUAUUGCCAACCAGCUCUGGGUUUUGCAUGAGGGUUCAACUUCUCUGACUUCUGAGAUUACAGACAAGAUUUUAAUUAAUAAUACUAUUGGCUUCAUUACUAGAUUAUCUUUCAACCUAUAAUUUAUUAUUUGAAUCAGUUCAUUGAACUCAAAUAUUUGUAGCAAUUUGUUUAAAUGUUCAUGAACUUGGAUUAUUUAACAUACAAAUGUAGGUAGGCUUACUAGACCUUUAAUGCUAGAAGAUUGUAAUUACAUAGGCCUAAUUUCACAUUUACAACUAAGUCUUGGAGCUGAUUUACAUUAAUAUUUGUGCUAGACUUUGUAAUUCUUAAAAUUUUAUUUUCUGCAAUGUUCCAAAGAGCAUUGCUCUAUUUUGGAACAAAACAAUUUAAUCUGACAGUUAGUUACAACACUAUUCUUAAUAAAACAAUGCACAUUAGCCUGUAUAAUAUGAAUUAGAUCUAACAUAAGAACUACAAACUGCACAUUUGCACUUAAAAUAUUCAUCAAACAGUUAAGGAAAGAGAUUAAACAUAACAUUUAACUCUUAAAUCGUCAUACUUAAUUUUAGUUAUCACACUUAUGCUUGUACGUGAACAGGAUCAAUUAUUAGCACUGCAAAUGCACAUUUAACACUAAUAAUUAUAUCAUACACAAAUGAUAUCAGUAACAUCAUACUUCAUUUUUGGUGUUACAGUAAGCUUCCGUAAAUGUUUCUUUUCCUCAGAACAUACAUCAGAAAACUUUUCUUGAAUUUAAACAUUACAAUAAAUUUUUAAAUAAUGAUUUGUUACAUAGCAAACCUUCAAAAUAUGAUUUACUUCCAAUUUUUGGAUAAACGCCAUUGAAGUUUUGCAUUGUUUGCCAUGGAAAACUAUGGAAAUAAAUAAACAAAUAAUUAAAAAUAUAAAGACACAACUGAAUCAGCUGUAGUUGAACAUACAGAACCAGCGAGGGGAAUAAAAAUAUUAUAAAAUAUAAUAUGUUCACUAAAGGUAUGAAAUUAAUGGAGGAUGUCCUACAUUAAUAAUAAUUAGUAACAGAGAACAAAGCAAAUUUGUAGAGAAGAGACUUUUAACAGUAGUAGAAUAAUAAAAUCCUGAUGAGGCUGUUUCAAAAAUUGCAAACAUUCCUACACAUAAGAAGCCCUUAAUUUCAAAGACUUCAGUCAGUAUACUAGUAUACUGCUCACGAUCUGUAAAGGUAAGGUAAUUAAAUUAAUGGGGGAAAAGGUAAAAAGCAUUUGGUUUGUGAUCUUAUAAAUGUGGUCAUUAGAGGCAAACAUUGGAUCUCUGUGUUUAAGUGCUCACUUUUCUGUCACCAAAGUGAUCUGGGUUUGAUUCUCAGCAUGGUCAUUAAUGGAUCUUUUGAUAGUGGGGAACAUAGCAAACAUUGCAGUGGUUAGUUGGUUUUCUCAGUGUGCUUACAUUACUUCACCCAUACAUUCUGUCAUUAUAUCAUUAGCAUUUUAUAGCCCUUCAUUUUUUUGUAAUGAUCUAGAGGUCACCAAGCUGAAAGCUCAAUUCAUUUCCUUCAUUGACAGAUAUAAGGGUUGAGGAUUUGAACCGAGCAAGAUAAACAUUUUAAUGUUGCCUGCUUCGUCUUCUAUAGAAAAUUAAAUCUAAUAUUUUGAAUUGCUCCUGUGCUGCACUACUAUUGAGAACGAGUAACCUGCACUUUUUAAGUCAUCAAAUAAAUUGUUAUAAACGGUUUCACUGUCUACAUAUGCCGGAAUAGUGUUAUCUGUAUCACUUUUGGUACAAUUUUGCAAUUUAUCUUUUGCUAGCUCAAAAAACGAUGUCAUUGUUCACGUUCAAAAGCUGUAGCUAUAGUCCGCGCUUUUCUAUUACCGGUACCGAAGUUACCCGAUCGAGCGACGAACUUCGGAACUGUUCGGGCAUGUCGAUCUAAGCGGGUGAACCUUAGGCUGUCCUAUACACAUGCGUUCCCAAGUGAAGUGGGGAAGCCUACAUUGCACAAAGGUAUUGGGACUAGUGAUGGGCAGAACGGUUCUUUUGACCGAACCGGUACUUUUGGAUCAGUUCCGUGAAAGAUUCGUUCAGAACGAUUCGUUCAUCUCGGUCAUUUCGUUCUUUUCUGUGAAUAGGAUCUGGCUCUUUUAUCAGGUGUCGUAACUCGUUCAUCCUUUAGAGUAUUGGCUACGUGUUUGCUUCCAGCCUCCCCUCGUUAUCGCGUGACCCGAUAACGAGAGGAGGCUGGAUCGCGUGGGUGGUUAUCUUUAUCUACUCUGCAUGGGUAAAUUAAAUUUCAAACGUCUAGUUGUAUACUGACUGUUAUAAAAUUAUUGACUGUUGAUCGCUGCAAAUGCUUCAUGCAGUGAUUCUAUAUAAUACGGGAGCAUUAAAUCUAAGAAUGUUAGGUACGAAAGUGAUCUUUCUUAACUUUAAUUUGUAAUCGCACUAUUAUAGCUAGUACUUGAACAUUGCUUUUCGUAGCCAGUGAAUCACAGUUGCGUAUAUGAAACAAGAUUAUUUAUAUUGUAUUACUUUUUAAGUUACAAAUAUUAAUAUACAGGCUAUUUACACUCUAGAGAGAGUAAAGUGUUUACAUGUAGACCAACACAUUUAGAGAAAAAAAGACAAAAAUUGAAUACUACUACUGCGAUUCAGUAUGAAGAGAGAAAAAUGAAGUAGGUACAUUAAUUAACACCUAAAUGGUAAGUGUGAACAUUUGUAGUUACUUUCCCUGUUAUUUUUAAUUCAUGUUUUUUUUCCCCCCAAAUUUGUGUAAUCGAAUGUGAAAACGCAAUUUUAAACCACUACUUAACAGUUGACAUUUUCAGGUAUAGAUACUUUUCAUGUUACCCUAUUUUAUUUGAUCAGUUAUCGUUUGCUCUUAUGAACAUGCUCACGCUGUGAUUACUAAUUCUUCAGACUCCUGACGUCAUGAAUCAUUUCACGAACGAAUCAGACCGGGCGCGUGGCCGGUUCUCUCAUCUCGUUCUCUCGUUCUCUCCGCGUUUUCGUUCUUCCGAAUCUUUCAAGGUACCGGCUCUCAAAGAGCCGGUUGGAUCUCUCGUUCUCUCCACAUUUUCGUUCUACCGAAUCUUUCAAGGUACCGGCUCUCAAAGAGCCGGUUCUUUACAUCGCGAACGAAUCGCAAGAUUUCGUUCUCUCAAAGAUUCGUUCUUUUUGAACGAAUCGUUAACGAACGACCCAUCACUAAUUGGGACAUGCCCGAACACGCACGAAGGGUUCAGCUUCGGCCUACCUCGGCUUUGUUUUUGUAAAACGUAAACAUUGGUCGGUGGUCGUCUCUCGGGGCGUGCGCAUCUCUCUCGCGGGCUGUUGGCUGGGAGUUCCCUGCGACCUAUUGGGUAACCGAAGGCUGGCAGUGCGUGUUGGUUUUGUGUGCGUGCUGGGGGCGGCCUAGCAGCGCCAACUGCUACCAACCGCGUCCCGCGGGUGGCGGAUACGGGAGCCCAGCUCGAGAGUUGCAAUCUCGCUGGGGUGGCUGUGAAUAACCAAUAGCAGUCCGCGGACCAAUGGCCGGCCUGCGGAGUCGUUAUUACGGCUGUCGGUGUGAAAGGUAGCCUGAAUGCAGCUCGGCGCGUGGCAGGAAGCAGCUUCGUCGGCGAAGGCCCGCAGGGGAGCUCGAUGUGCUGAAAAAAUGCGAAGUGUAGACGAACUGCGGGCUGGAACUUGCGGAGCUGUGAACUGCUGCGCGCGCAACGGAAUUGAAAUGCAUCGGAACUCUGAAGGAAGACAUCAGGAACCUUCAGCUGGGGCUGCUGUAGGUGUGGCAGCAGUAGCCUCGAGCGGCGCGACCUCAAACCGUCUCGGGGAUUUUGGGUGGCGAGGUUGGUUCCCUCCCCCCACCCUGGCUUGAAAAGUACUGCUGUUGACCUGAAGAAGGAAGAUGAAGAUGGCGCAACGUCAGGCUGCCUUUCGCUCCGAGAGCCAGCAGUUCGAGCCGGUUUACUGGCUCGUCUGCCCGCUUCUGUCUUAACUGUGGCUGCCUGGGCAGCUGUGGCUGGGCUGACGUGAAGUCGCCCGCCCCUGGGGGCGCAUGCGCCCCUGGCUAAUAAUAACCCAGGAGCUCCCAACUUUAAAUGUGGGCCGCAAGGCCCAAGCACCCAACUCCACCAAGGUUGAUUUUCAGCCCCUCCAACUCUUCUUACCUGGACCCUUCUUCCUCUUGUCCAGUAGUUACCUGCUUGCUUAUUGCAUGUUAAUUGAUCCCCGCAUGAACCGGCCCAGGGUUUUCCCUGUGUCUAUGCAGGUUUUACCUGGGUCACACUUAGCUAGCUUUUAAGCUAGGCGACCAAUGGGGCGUCAGUCAUGGCGCCAAUCGCAGCCAUGGCUGGCCAAUAAACCCCAAUAAGCACAUGAUGCACGCGCCCUUGUCCUGCAUGGUUAAAAACCCGCAUGGUAGAGUGUAUAGGCUUCGGCCUGAGACACACUUAGGUCCUCCCCUAACCUGGACCCUCCCCUACACACUUAGAAUUAACUUAGGCUAGGAAAAAUUAAAUCGUAAACAUUACGGACCCGGUGUAUUUAUGGUAAUCGAAAACUCAUUAAAUGUUAUGGCAUGUGGAGACAUGUUGCUUAUAUAUUAAACCUUGGACGCCCGAUGCAAAUGAAGAAUUAAUGAAUUGAUCCUCGUUAUAACUGUGCGUUUGUUUGAUUACACUUAAAAUGUUAUUUCUUUGUUAUGAUAGUUAUUAAGAAUGUUAAAAUAAAAAUUAUUUUAUGAGAAAAAAAAAA